GAUGAACGCUGGCGGCGGGCCUAAUACAUGCAAGUCGAGCGAGGGGGGGACGGGUGAGUAACACGUGGAUAACCUCCUAUAAGGCUGGGAUAACUACGGGAAACCGGAGAUAAACCGGUUACUUAUAGAUGGUUCCUCGUUGCAUUAGCUAGUUGGUAAGGUAACGGCUUACCAAGGCAACGAUGCAUAGCCGACCUGAGAGGGUGAUCGGCCACACUGGAACUGAGACACGGUCCAGACUCCUACGGGAGGCAGCAGUAGGGAAUCUUCCGCAAUGGGCGAAAGCCUGACGGAGCAACGCCGCGUGUGUGAUGAAGGUCUUCGGAUUGUAAAGCUCUGUUAUUAGGGAAGCGGUACCUAAUCAGAAAGCCACGGCUAACUACGUGCCAGCAGCCGCGGUAAUAC
Molecule: ribosomal RNA, 405 nt
Filed under: uncultured bacterium
Lineage: Bacteria
Description: partial 16S ribosomal RNA
Rfam family: Bacterial small subunit ribosomal RNA
Source: RNAcentral